UUUUUUUUUUUUUUUUUUUUGGUCUUUUUGCCAUUUCUAGGGCCGCUCCCGUGGCAUAUGGAGGUUCCCAGGCUAGGGAUCCAAUCGGAGCUGUAGGCACCAGCCUACACCACAGCCACAGCAACGUGGGAUCCAAGCCGCAUAUGCGACCUGCACCACAGCUCACGGCAACGCCAGAUCCUCAACCCACUGAGCAAGGCCAAGGAUCGAACCCACAACCUCAUGGUUCCUAGUUGGAUUCACCAACCAUGACGGGAACUCCAUGACUGCAAGUCUUUAUCAUGGUCUCCUAGCCCCCUGCUGCAAACCUUCACACACACACACACACACAUACACACACACACAGAGCACCUAUGUCCACUCCUGACCACCAGCCUGGAGAGUGACACUCUGCCCCUUCCUCCUUCCCCUCCCCUUUUGCAACCCAAAUACUCCACUUUCCAUAAAGAAGGAACUAUUACUUGCAUCUCAUUCCCAUCUGCUACAGACUAUGAUUAAUUAACACCCUUCAUUAUAAAAUCUCAACACAACAAAGUGAGACAAAGUCCCAGUGUCCCUCAUGACGGAUGUUUUAAACAUCUAUGCAUGUAACAAGGCUACAGAAUCAUCUACUUACUCAGCACACUGCCCACAUCACUCCAGGGCUGGGACCAAAUCUUCUUUAUAUGCCAGCCACACAAGGCCGUCCAUGAUAAAAGGGUCCCAUCCACUCCACUUCAUAGGUCUCUUGCCACCAGCCACCUAGCAUCGUGUCCCCAGUGUCUAUAUCCCCCUGCACACAUCAGGCUGCGCUCUGUGACUCACAAUGCUCCUGCUCACCUGUGCUCCUUCCUUAAUCAGCUCCAAUAGGACCCUCUCAAAAAGGAGGUGCCCCAGAGUUGGGUGCAAUGUCUCCAGGGCUACCACAGGCCCCGUGCACCUGCCUGAAAGCUCCAUUCUGUUUAGUAAUGAUUCCCUCUUCUUUAUCUCACUCUUCCAUCUCAUUAAGAACAGUACCUUAUUAAACUUUGUCUCUCUAGAAAUGAGCACACACCAUGACUGACAGCAUUCGAGCAACAAAUCCAUCCAUUCAUGAAUUCAAGCCACAGUGUUAACACCGAACAGAGAGAGGUAUCAGCCACGGUCUCUCUCUUACAAAUUUCUGACAUCACUGCAGGGCACAUUACUCCUAAAUACACUGUCAUCUGAUAAACCAACCAAGAGAAAAAGAAUGCAUUCAUUAUACAUCAGUCCUGAAACAGAUCAAAGACAAAAACAUGUCAUCUGGCCCAUGAGCAAAAAAGCAAGGAAUCUUGCAGCAAUAUGAUUUUCAAUUUGCAUAAAUUGUGCAAGUUUCUUUGAAGUCGAGUGAGAGUAAGGUAGAAUACAAUCAAGUUUAAAAUUUUGACACUCUGACUCUUUCUUCAGUGUACAAAAGCUUGGGGAAUUCAAGAAGAAGUUGCUUUGCACAAACAAAAGCAAAUGCCUCAUCAGUGUGAGAAAUGUCAGUGGUCCCAACAGCAGAGUAGUUUCUCGUGUGCCUCCCUUCAUCCCACAGGACUUUAAAGUUAAAUGCUGAGCCCUUUUAGAAGGACAACUACUCAAAGAGAACAUAGUAGGGAGACCAAAUGGAUGCUUUGCAAUGUCUUAACUCAUGCCUACCAUGAAAUCAAAAGUCCCAUGAGCUAGGUUCCAACAGUCAGUGACUAUGAGGGGAGGCAGAUGCCUCUCUGGGACCCAGAGGCACCACUCCCUUUGAGGUCCUCUGAGGAGAUGUGGUGGUGUUACCUGAGCAUCCUAAGAGAAGGGCCCCCCAUCCCAGCCCCGCCAUGCUGGAUGCUGACCUUCAACCCUGCCAGCCUCACUCAUGUCCAGCCACAGGGCAGAGCGGCAGCCACUCAGCAGGGAAAUCUGUUCUACAACAGUGAGCCCCAACAAAAGAAUUCUAGACCAAGACACUGCUUUGUUCAAGCACAUAUUUUUGUUCACAGGAGCAGAAAUUGAGAUCCAUUUUCAACAACAAAGGGUCUCAAGAUUUUUAAACCUGAGCACCAAUAAUCCAAACACCAAAGCUAUAAUUCACACAUGCAACAAAAUUUUAACAGUUGGUCUUUUAAAAAAAAUUAGCUCAUUUUCAGGCUCCAUAUGCACAAGUUACCUUAAACUGGUAAGAACUGAACAUUUUAUACAUGUUUCAAUGCAAUACUUAUCCAAGAAUUCCUGCUUUCUCUAUAAAACAGGCAUGGUUAUAAUGUGAUAGGUCUGUAGCCCAAAUUCAUUCUUGAGCCUAUUAGGUUUGAUAAGACUUUUUACCCAUACUGAAACUCUACUAACUUUCCAUUUUAUUUCAGUUAAUGUUCCAUAAAGAAAAUUCCUGCUCUACUUACUACAAAUGAGAAACUGCAGUCACUACUUGGAACAUAGAUGAUUGGCAAAAAAAAAAUAAACCCUGCAAUUUUUAAGGCAAAUAACGGUGCUAGGUACAUCAUAAUAAACAAGGUCAGUAAAAGAUUGAGACUAACCCCUCCUUCCAGGGGAUUAGGAAGAAACCUUAAACACAGAAAAGAUAUUUACAUGAUAGGAACAUUUUGUUCAUACCCACUGUUUCACGCAUCUACUCUGUCAGAGGCUGGAAGAUGCUGGGCAUAUAAAGAGAAACACUAGUUUUCAGGAUACUCACAAGCCAUGAAACUGUAUGCAAACUGACAUGCACACAUGCAAUUUUCUAUAGGGAGAAUAAAACUUAACAAAAGGGUGCACCAUCACCAAAAGAUGAAGAAUUGCUGAUACAGACAAUACAUGGUGGAGAGUUGCCAAGGAAUAUGUUACUUCCAAAUAAAGUGUUACCAAGAAAUGUUACUUUCCAAAUAAGAAAAGAGGAUUUUCCAUAGGCCUCAGAGGGGGCAGAGCUUCACAGGCCAAAGCUAAGAGAAAUGGUGUAGAGUGUUGGGAAAGGGAACUGGGGACCAAAACUGUGGCACAGCAUCAUUCCAGCAAGAACGUCGGACACUGCAGUGGCUGCUCAGGCAAGCUGGAAACACAUCACCGAGGGCAACACACAGUCUAAGAAUCAGACCACCAGGGCUCAAGUGCCACCGCUGUACAACCUUGACAUAUGGUAUCACCUAGUCCUGACGUAGGUAUGAAGAUUAAAUGAGAUAAUGAACAUAAACAGUGCUAAGCACAGCCCCUGGCAGCCAGCAAGGCUCCACAGCGAUCCCUGGAAUGCUGACCACCAUCACUGCUGUUUGACCCAAUGCCACUCCCCUAGGAAAGUCCAUCUAAAGGAGAGGUGGGCUCAAGGGCAGGACGCAUUGUAGGCUCCUGGCAUCACAGCACACUUCUCCCUUGUAUCUGACCUGAGGAUUUACCAGGACACUCUCAGCUUUCCUCCCCUUAUCACCUCCACCUGCUUCAACUUGGCUGCUAAGAGAAGGGUUGGCUGUUUGCCCCCACAGGACUCUACCAACUCCUCCUUCCAAAGUGUCCCAAAUUUUUGAACCAACUACAACUGGAGAAUAGAGACAAAUUAGGUCUAGAGGCUAUGUUGGCUAGGCAUUCAGUACCAAACACUAGAAACACAACUUAAAAGACAUAAACAAAAAGUGAUGUGUCCAGGGACAGAUGGUUCAAAAGAUGUGACAGCAAAACUCUCAUCCCAGCUCCACUUUCCUCUGUGUUCAUUCCAUCCUGUCUCUUGAUUGCUUCAGCCUAAGACCUGUGGCUGAUUCCCGCUGGCUGAUAACUCUGUCCAGGCCUGGGGAGAGUGCCCACACUUAACUCAGCUGCACGAGCAGUCACAAAAACCAAAAAUAAAGUGGGAAGUCUCCCAAAAGAAACUAAAAGUGUAAUGAACAGAAAACAUAGGGAAUGCAUGCUAGACAGGCACAAAUAACACAUAUCUGUCAAAGGAACAUAUGAUUAUAUUCAUGCCUUCAGGAAGCAUCAUGAUUCUUGGCAUUAUAUUCCCAUCUGUUUAUUUGAAUCUAUUAGAACUGUUCUGGCUAAAGUUGACCAAAGAAAAACAAAAAACAAAAAACCUAAAAGAUGUCUCAAUCAAAAAGAUAAUUUGUUAUGUGACUACAAAGACUGCAUUAGGAGAUAAAUCAUGGCUGGUCUAAUGAACAAAUCAUGAAAAUCAUUUCCUCCUAAGCCUAACAUCCGACAUUCCAGUUACUCUUGGGGGUAAAGAUGGCCAUGUGCCCCAGUGCUCGACAUGAGCCAGUCUGCUGAGAGGCAUCUGCUUCCUGCUAAAUGGGAGCCCCUUUGUCCUAAAGUUGUGACAGCCAAGAAGUAACAAGCAUAAAGGGGCAGUUAGCAUAAGGAAAGUAGAUAAGCUUGAGCCUUAAUAACAUCACUGGGAAGCUGAGCCAAGAAAAAUGAGAAUAAAUCCCUACAUCAGCUGCUUCAAUUCAAUCCUGUUACUUGCAGCUGAGAGCAAUCCUAACUGGUCUGGCAGACCAGGGACCCAAGUUCUUUUCACCUUUCCUUACCAUGAUGUUCUUAUCAAAAGAGGGAGACAACUGUUGUAAGUGUCACAAUGAGAAGAAAUACAUGUCAAGUAAAGAGGAAAUGCUCUCCAGAAGUCCUUUAGCAGGUGUCUUGGCAUAUCUUGUGGGCCAGAACUACAUCAUAUGCUUAUACCUCAAUUCAAGUGGUAAGGAAAAUGGUAUUUCAAUGUUUUACUCCUGAAAUGGGAUCACUUUCUGAAGGAAAACAAAGUUUCUACUAAUAAGAAAAGUAUAAGGUGAACAGAUGCUUCUUAGGCAACUCACAAUGCCAAUUAUCAUAGCAAUUACUAGAUAGCAUUUUAAUAUUACUUUUCAUACAUACAUACAUGUCUCACAAAAGGGAAGAAACAAGGGUGACAAUUUCAGUGUAUUUUUGCUGCUUCAGUGGGAUAAAAGCGAGUUAAUAUUUACCAUCUAAAAGCAUUAUUUUUUGAAUUUUUUAAAAAACUUUAUUACAUUUAUAAUUGUAAAGUGAUCAUCACAACCCAACUUUAUUGCAUUUCCACCCCAAACCCCCAGCGCAUGUCCCCACCCCCCAACCUGUCUCAUUUGGAAACCAUAAGUUUUUCAAAGUCUGUGAGUCAGGAUCUGUGCUUCAAAGAAGUUCACUGUGUCCUUUUUUUAGAUUCCACAUGUAAGUGAUAGCAUAUGAUGUUGGUGUCUCACUGUCUGACUGACUACACUUAGCAUGAUAAUUUCGAGGUCCAUCCAUGUUGCUGCAAAUGCUGUUAUUUCUUUCCUUUUAAUGGCUGAGUAAUGUUCCAUUGUGUAUAUGUACCACAUCUUCUUGAUUCACUCCUCUGUCGAUGGAUAUUUAGGUUGUUUCCAUGUCUUGGCUAUUGUAUAUAGUGCUGCAAAAAGCAUUAUUAAAUACAUAUGAGUACUAAGAAUAGCCCCAGAAAAUGUCAUAUAAUAAAAAUGUAUACAAAAGCUAACCAUUAAAGGCUGUUUAAAAACAUGGAAAAGAAGUGCCACAUAAAAAGUAUGUUGAAACGCUCAUACACUGCUGCUAAGAGGGUACAUUAGUACAGCCACUUUAGAAGGCAAUUUGGAAGUACCUACUAAAAUUUUAAGUGCCACAUACUCCAUGCCUCAAAUAUUUUACUUCUCAGUAUAUAUCCUGGAAAAA
This 5619-nucleotide long non-coding RNA is filed under the name Sus scrofa (pig). RNAcentral describes it as "lncRNA (ENSSSCG00055027634.1)". Lineage: Eukaryota; Metazoa; Chordata; Mammalia; Artiodactyla; Suidae. The record is from RNAcentral.